This is a long non-coding RNA of Hyla sarda, 329 nucleotides long. RefSeq lists it as uncharacterized. NCBI's taxonomy places the organism in Eukaryota, Metazoa, Chordata, Amphibia, Anura, Hylidae. The transcript is spliced from 2 exons. The record is from RefSeq and is a predicted model, not a curated record.
CUCUACACAGGUUUUGAUAAAUCUCCCCCUAUGUCUGUGCCACAGUGUAAAAGUACAGCAAGGCUCUGUUUUGGGGCGGAAGGGUGGAGAUUUACAGCAGAGGCGCUGCAGCCCUGGGCGCACAAGACUAAAAAGACCUAAAUAUGCAUUUAUUGGGGGGGAAUAAGGCCCACAGGAUUCUUAGAUAUCAUUCAUGUCCUCACAAGAAUCUUGAAGAGAUAAUGGAAAAACGGCUUGGAUUUUCUUUUAUUGUGACAAAACCCCUGUUUAUCAUUGGACUUUUGUAAAUAACAAGAAUGUGAUCUUUAUAAGUAAAUUCGCCUCCUGUG